Molecule: long non-coding RNA, 2852 nt
Filed under: Selaginella moellendorffii
Lineage: Eukaryota; Viridiplantae; Streptophyta; Lycopodiopsida; Selaginellales; Selaginellaceae
Description: long non-coding RNA (SMOE_LNC002368)
Source: RNAcentral
CGCCGCCACCUCCUCCGCCUUACUACUACAAAUCUCCGCCUCCGCCUCCUCCCUACAAGUAUGAAUCGCCGCCUCCGCCUCCCUACAAGUACGAGUCGCCGCCUCCACCACCGUACUACUACAAAUCACCUCCGCCGCCCCCAUACAAGUAUGAAUCGCCGCCGCCACCACCAUACAAGUAUGAAUCGCCGCCGCCACCACCAUACAAGUAUGAAUCGCCUCCUCCACCACCAUAUAAGUACGAAUCGCCACCGCCACCACCAUACAAGUACGAGUCGCCUCCUCCACCUCCGUACAAGUAUGAAUCGCCUCCUCCCCCACCAUACUACUACAAAUCACCACCACCACCUCCUUACAAGUAUGAAUCUCCCCCUCCACCUCCAUAUUACUACAAAUCUCCACCCCCGCCACCACCUUACUACUACAAAUCACCACCACCACCUUCUCCUGUCUACAAAUAUAAAUCUCCACCACCACCACCUUACAAGUACGAAUCUCCUCCUCCACCUCCAUACUAUUACAAGUCUCCACCACCACCGCCGUAUUACUACAAGUCUCCACCACCACCACCUCCAGUUUACAAAUACAAAUCUCCUCCUCCGCCACCAUAUUACUACAAAUCACCACCUCCUCCAUCACCAGUAUAUUACUACAAAUCUCCUCCUCCACCAGCGUAUUACUACAAAUCUCCCCCACCGCCUGUCUACUAUUACAAAUCCCCGCCACCUCCAGCUUACCACUACCAAUCGCCACCCCCACCAAGUUACAAGCUGGUAGUGGUCACGGGCAAGGUCUAUUGCAACAGAUGCUGGAACACCACAAGCAGAUACCUUCAGGCAUCACCACAUGGGUCUGCUAGGUACAUUCUCAAUUGCAUUGUAUUCGAUAUUGUUCUCCUCACUCAUUUCCUCUUGAUACUGUGUGCAAUAAUGCAGGUGGCAAAGUGAAGAUCACAUGUGGCGAAUCUUACUACUACGGCUACACCAACAAGCAUGGAAUCUUUAGAAUUGAGCUCCCGCACCAAUCCUGGGAAGAAGCAAGCAGCUGCAAGGCCAAGAUUAUCAAGAGCAGCUACAUCAAGUCGUCAUGCAAUGUCAUCACGGACUACAGGUCUGGUGCAACAGGGGCCAAGCUCAAGUUCAAAUCGAAAACAGAGAAGGAGCUCGUCUUGACAGCCGGUCCUUUCAUCUAUGCAACUCCAGAGCCAUCGUCAGUCUGCUUCUACACAUCACCUCCCUAUGAGUACAAGUCACCUCCGCCACCAACACCGGUCUACCAUUACGCCUCUCCGCCACCUCCGGUCUACUACUACAAAUCGCCACCUCCUCCUUCACCGGUUUACUACUACAAAUCCCCUCCUCCUCCUUCGCCGGUCUACUAUUACAAAUCCCCGCCUCCACCACCAUACUAUUACAAGUCCCCACCUCCACCUCCGCCUAAGUAUUACUACAAGUCGCCCCCACCACCGUCUCCAUACUAUUACAAAUCCCCGCCCCCUCCACCGUACUAUUACAAAUCCCCACCACCACCUCCCUACAAAUACGAAUCGCCGCCGCCUCCUCCUUACAAAUACGAGUCCCCACCUCCACCACCUUACUAUUACAAGUCCCCACCACCACCUCCAUACAAAUAUGAAUCCCCGCCACCUCCAGUCUACAAAUAUGAGUCUCCGCCACCCCCAGUUUACAAAUACAAGUCGCCACCACCACCAUACAAGUACGAGUCACCACCACCACCUCCAUACAAGUAUGAAUCCCCGCCACCUCCACCUUAUUACUACAAGUCCCCUCCACCACCACCAUACAAGUACGAGUCGCCACCACCUCCUCCGUACAAGUAUGAAUCUCCACCACCACCAGUUUACAAAUACAAGUCACCUCCGCCGCCACCUUAUUACUACAAAUCCCCACCGCCACCUCCAUACAAGUACGAGUCUCCACCUCCUCCUCCGUACAAGUAUGAAUCUCCACCACCACCACCUUAUUACUACAAAUCCCCCCCGCCACCUCCAUACAAGUACGAGUCACCGCCUCCUCCUCCGUACAAGUAUGAAUCUCCACCACCGCCAGUUUACAAAUACAAGUCACCCCCGCCACCACCUUAUUACUACAAAUCCCCGCCACCACCUCCAUACAAGUACGAGUCUCCACCUCCUCCUCCGUACAAGUAUGAAUCUCCACCACCACCUCCUUAUUACUACAAAUCCCCGCCGCCACCUCCCUACAAGUAUGAAUCCCCGCCACCACCUCCCUACAAAUACGAGUCACCUCCACCACCACCUUACUAUUACAAAUCUCCUCCACCGCCUCCAUACAAGUAUGAGUCGCCACCACCACCAGUCUACAAAUACGAGUCUCCGCCACCCCCAGUUUACAAAUACAAGUCGCCCCCUCCACCUUAUUACUACAAGUCUCCGCCACCCCCGCCAUACAAAUAUGAAUCCCCACCUCCACCUCCCUACAAGUAUGAAUCGCCUCCUCCUCCACCUUACUACUACAAGUCCCCUCCACCACCUCCCUACAAAUAUGAAUCCCCGCCACCACCUCCCUAUAAAUACGAGUCACCACCACCACCACCUUACUAUUACAAAUCUCCUCCACCGCCUCCAUACAAGUAUGAGUCGCCACCACCACCUCCCUACAAAUACGAGUCACCACCACCACCACCUUACAAGUAUGAAUCCCCACCUCCACCUCCGUACAAGUAUGAAUCACCUCCACCGCCUCCAUACAAGUAUGAAUCCCCUCCUCCACCUCCCUACAAAUACGAGUCACCACCCCCACCACCUUAUUACUACAAAUCGCCUCCGCCACCGGAGUAUCAAUCACCUCCUUACGUGUAUAAAUCUCCAC